AACGAACGCUGGCGGCAUGCCUAACACAUGCAAGUCGAACGAGACCUUCGGGUCUAGGGGCCUACGGGUGCGUAACGCGUGGGAACCUGCCCUUAGGUUCGGAAUAACUCCCCGAAAGGGGUGCUAAUACCGGAUAAUGUCUUCGGACCAAGGAUUUAUCGCCUUUGGAUGGGCCCGCGUUGGAUUAGCUAGUUGGUAGGGUAAAAGCAUACCAAGGCGACGAUCCAUAGCUGGUCUGAGAGGAUGGUCAGCCACACUGGGACUGAGACACGGCCCAGACUCCUACGGGAGGGAGCAGUGGGGAAUAGUGGACAAUGGGCGAAGGCCUGAUCCAGCAAUGCCGCGUGAGUUAUGAAGGCCUUAGGGUUGUAAAGCUCUUUUACCCGGGAUGAUAAUGACAGUACCGGGAGAAUAAGCCCCGGCUAACUCCGUG
RNAcentral lists this ribosomal RNA (433 nucleotides) under uncultured bacterium. Its description in RNAcentral is "partial 16S ribosomal RNA". It matches the Rfam family "Bacterial small subunit ribosomal RNA", at positions 29 to 507 of the family's 1533-position model. The record is from RNAcentral.